RNAcentral lists this long non-coding RNA (442 nucleotides) under Brassica napus (rape). RNAcentral describes it as "long non-coding RNA (BNAP_LNC009514)". The record is from RNAcentral. Lineage: Eukaryota; Viridiplantae; Streptophyta; Magnoliopsida; Brassicales; Brassicaceae.
AAACCAUAUUGUCUAUUUCGGUUCGGUACGGUUCGGUUUUACCAUAUUGAACAGCCCUACCCUAAACCCUAAAACUAAACUCUAAACCCUAAACCAUCAAUCCUAAACCCUAUUUUUUCGAUAUACGAACCCUAAACCCUAAACCAUCAAUCCAAAACCCUAUUUUUUUUAAAUACGAACCCUAAACCCUGAAACAUCAACUCUAAACCCUAAACCCCGAAACCUUCAACUCUAAACCCUAAAACAUCAACUCUAAACCCUAAACCCUAAACUUCAACUCUAAACCCUAAACCAUCAACACUAAACCCUAAACCCUAAAAAGUAAACUCUAAACCCUAAACCCUAAAAAAUUUAAACUAAACCAUAAAACAUCAACUCUAAACCCUAAACCCUAAACCCUAAACCUUCAACCCUAAACCCUAAACCCUAAAUCCUAAACCCU